This 644-nucleotide ribosomal RNA is filed under the name uncultured bacterium. RNAcentral describes it as "bacterial SSU rRNA". It matches the Rfam family "Bacterial small subunit ribosomal RNA", at positions 28 to 665 of the family's 1533-position model. The record is from RNAcentral.
GAUGAACGCUAGCGGCAGGCUUAACACAUGCAAGUCGAGGGGCAGCGCGUCGUAGCAAUAUCCUGGCGGCGACCGGCGGAAGGGUGCGUAACGCGUGAGCGACAUGCCCGUUGCCCGGGGACAACCGGUGGAAACGCCGACUAAUCCCCGAUGGGAUACGAUGCUUCAUGGCAUUGUAUUGAAAGUUACGGCGGCGACGGAUUGGCUCGCGUCCGAUUAGCUUGUUGGCGGGGUAACGGCCCACCAAGGCUGCGAUCGGUAGGGGUUCUGAGAGGAAGGCCCCCCACAAUGGGACUGAGACACGGCCCAUACUCCUACGGGAGGCAGCAGUGAGGAAUAUUGGUCAAUGGGCGGAAGCCUGAACCAGCCAUGCCGCGUGCGGGAAGGAGGCCCUAUGGGCUGUGAACCGCUUUUGCCCGGGGGCAAUAAGGGCGUCGCGCACGUCCGAUGAGAGUACCAGGGGAAUAAGCAUCGGCUAACUCCGUGCCAGCAGCCGCGGUAAUACGGGGGAUGCGAGCGUUAUCCGGAUUCAUUGGGUUUAAAGGGUGCGUAGGCUGUGCGUCAAGUCAGGGGUGAAAUUCCGGGGCUCAACUCCGGGGCUGCCCUUGAUACUGUCGCGCUGGAGUGCGGAUGCCGCCGGAGGA